GAUGAACGCUGACAGAAUGCUUAACACAUGCAAGUCUACUUGAUUUACCUUCGGGUAAUGAAGGUGGCGGACGGGUGAGUAACGCGUAAACAAUCUGCCCUUCAGUCUGGGAUAUCAGUUGGAAACGACUGUUAAUACCGGAUAUUAUGAGAUUCUCGCAUGGGAAACUCAUGAAAGCUAUAUGCGCUGGAGGAGGAGUUUGCGUUCCAUUAGCUAGUUGGUGAGGUAACGGCUCACCAAGGCGACGAUGGAUAGCCGGCCUGAGAGGGUGAACGGCCACAAGGGGACUGAGACACGGCCCUUACUCCUACGGGAGGCAGCAGUGGGGAAUAUUGGACAAUGGGCCACGAGCCUGAUCCAGCAAUUCUGUGUGCACGAUGAAGGUCUUCGGAUUGUAAAGUGCUUUCAGUUGGGAAGAAGAAAGUGACGGUACCAACAGAAGAAGCGACGGCUAAAUAUGUGCCAGCCGCCGCGGUAACAC
Molecule: ribosomal RNA, 481 nt
Filed under: uncultured bacterium
Lineage: Bacteria
Description: bacterial SSU rRNA
Rfam family: Bacterial small subunit ribosomal RNA
Source: RNAcentral